UACGUAGGGGGCAAGCGUUGUCCGGAUUUAUUGGGCGUAAAGAGCGUGUAGGCGGUUCAGUAAGUCUGCUGUGAAAGUCCAGGGCUCAACCCUGGGAUGCCGGUGGAUACUGCUGGGCUAGAGUACGGAAGAGGCGAGUGGAAUUCCCGGUGUAGCGGUGAAAUGCGCAGAUAUCGGGAGGAACACCUAUUGCGAAGGCAGCUCGCUGGGACGUUACUGACGUUGAGACGCGAAAGCGUGGGGAGCAAACAGG
Molecule: ribosomal RNA, 253 nt
Filed under: uncultured bacterium
Lineage: Bacteria
Description: partial 16S ribosomal RNA
Rfam family: Bacterial small subunit ribosomal RNA
Source: RNAcentral